AAAGAGUUAAAUAAUUAUAAAAGUUAUUGUAGCAAAAUUAUUUUAAAUAAUUAUUUUGAAAUGAAAUGUUAAUCGUUUUUAAAUAUAUCUAGUUUUUUUAGAAAAAAAUUUAAUUUUAAAUUUAUUAUAUAAUUAAUUUUAUUAAUUAAAUUAAUUAUUUUAAUAAAUUUUAUAUUUUAAGGGAUAAGCUUUAAAAAUUAAAUUUUUAUAGUAAAAAAUUUUUAUUUUGAAAAUUUUAUAAUUUAUAUUGUUAAUAAAUUUUAUUUUAUUAUAAAUAAUUUCAUAUUUAAUAAAAUUUAAAAAUUUACAUUUAAUUUUUUAUAAAAAAAUAUUUUUUAUUGUUUAAAAAUUAAAUAUAAUGAUAAAAUUAGUAUAUUUAAUAAGUUAAUUUAAUUUUAAAUUAAUAUUAAUUAUUUAAUUAAUUAAAAGGAAUUCGGCAAAUAUUUAUUUUCACUUGUUUAUCAAAAACAUGUCUUUUUGAAAUUUAUUUAAAGUCUAAUCUGCCCACUGAUUUUUAAUUAAAGGGCUGCAGUAUUUUGACUGUACAAAGGUAGCAUAAUCAUUAGUCUCUUAAUUGGUGACUUGUAUGAAAGAUUGAAUGAAAAAUAUACUGUCUCUUAAUUAUUUUAUAGAAUUUAAUUUUUUAUUUAAAAAGUUAAAAUAUGUUAAAAAGACGAGAAGACCCUAUAGAGUUUUAUAAAUAUAUUUAAUAUUAAAAAUUAUUUAUAUGUUAAAAAAAUUUUUAUAAAUUUAUUUAUUUUGUUGGGGUGAUAGAAAAAUAAGUUUAACUUUUUUUAAAGAUUUAACAAAAAUAAAUGAGUAAUUGAUCCAAUUUUAUUGAUUAUAAGAUUAAAUUACCUUAGGGAUAACAGCGUAAUUUUUUUUUUUAGUUCAAAUAAGAAAAAAAGUUUGCGACCUCGAUGUUGGAUUAAGAUAAAAUUUAAAUGCAAAAGUUUAAAAUUUUUG
This 966-nucleotide ribosomal RNA is filed under the name Phigaliohybernia fulvinfula. RNAcentral describes it as "partial 16S rRNA". The record is from RNAcentral. Lineage: Eukaryota; Metazoa; Arthropoda; Insecta; Lepidoptera; Geometridae.